RNAcentral lists this ribosomal RNA (253 nucleotides) under uncultured bacterium. RNAcentral's name for it is "partial 16S ribosomal RNA". It matches the Rfam family "Bacterial small subunit ribosomal RNA", at positions 524 to 776 of the family's 1533-position model. The record is from RNAcentral.
UACGAAGGGUGCAAGCGUUACUCGGAAUCACUGGGCGUAAAGCGUGCGUAGGCGGCCUUCUAAGUCGAACGUGAAAUCCCCGGGCUCAACCCGGGAACUGCGUCCGAUACUGGAAGGCUUGAAUCCGGGAGAGGGAUGUGGAAUUCCAGGUGUAGCGGUGAAAUGCGUAGAUAUCAGGAGGAACACCGGUGGCGAAGGCGGGUCUCUGGGCCGAUACUGACGCUGAGGAGCGAAAGCGUGGGGAGCGAACAGG